CAAUAGCGUAUAUUAAAGUUGUUGCAGUUAAAAAGCUCGUAGUUGGACUUCUGCGGGUGGCGGCCGGUCGUGCUCGAAACGGGCGUGAACUUGGCGUGCUGCCCGCAUCUUUGGGGAGAUUGCGCGUGGCAUUAAGUUGUCGUGCAUGGGAUUCUCAUCAUUUACUGUGAAAAAAUUAGAGUGUUUAAAGCAGGCCUUUGCCUUGAAUACAUUAGCAUGGAAUAAUAAGAUAGGACCGUUGUCUAUUUUGUUGGUUUACAGAUGUCGGUAAUGAUUAAUAGGGAUAGUUGGGGGUAUUCGUAUUCAGUUGUCAGAGGUGAAAUUCUUGGAUUUUCGGAAGACGCACGACUGCGAAAGCAUUUACCAAGGAUGUUUUCAUUAA
RNAcentral lists this ribosomal RNA (382 nucleotides) under uncultured eukaryote. Its description in RNAcentral is "partial 18S ribosomal RNA". It matches the Rfam family "Eukaryotic small subunit ribosomal RNA", at positions 592 to 976 of the family's 1831-position model. The record is from RNAcentral.